RNAcentral lists this ribosomal RNA (403 nucleotides) under uncultured bacterium. RNAcentral's name for it is "partial 16S ribosomal RNA". It matches the Rfam family "Bacterial small subunit ribosomal RNA", at positions 30 to 526 of the family's 1533-position model. The record is from RNAcentral.
AUUGAACGCUGGCGGCAGGCCUAACACAUGCAAGUCGAGCGAGCGGCGGACGGGUGAGUAAUGUAUGGGGACUGCCCGAUAGAGGGGGAUAACUACUGGAAACGGUAGCUAAUACCGCAUACUAUCGGAAAACCCAUAUGGGAUUAGAUAGUAGGUGCGGUAAUGGCUAACCUAGGCGACGAUCCCUAGCUGGGCUGAGAGGAUGAACAGCCACCCUGGGACUGAGACACGGCCCAGACUCCUACGGAGGGAGCAGUGGGGAAUAUUGCACUAUGGGCGCAAGCCUGAGGCAGCCAUGCCGAGUGUAUGAAGAAGGCCCUAGGGUUGUAAAGUACUUUCAGUCGGGAGGCGUUACCGACAGAAGAAGCACCGGCUAACUCCGUGCCAGCCGCCGCGGUAAUAC